Molecule: non-coding RNA, 23 nt
Filed under: Arabidopsis thaliana (thale cress)
Lineage: Eukaryota; Viridiplantae; Streptophyta; Magnoliopsida; Brassicales; Brassicaceae
Source: RNAcentral
AACUCACUCCUCCUGCUUGAUGA